UAGGAUUUAGGGUUUAGGGUUUGGUUUAGGAUUUAGAAUUUGGUUUAGGAUUUAAGAUUUGGUUAGGAUUUGAUUUAGGACUUAGGAUUUGAGUAGGAUUUGAUUUAGGAUUUGGGCUUGGUUAGGAUUUGAUUUAGGAUUAGGAUUUGAUUAGGAUUUGAUUUAGGAUUAGGAUUUGAUUAGGAUUCGAUUUAUGAUUUAGGAUUUUAUUAGGAUUUAUUUAGGGUUUAAGAUUUAGUUAGUUUUUGGCCUCAAAUUUGAAUGAAGUUUAAUAGGAUUUUAACUAAGAUUAAAUUAAGAUUGAAUUGAGAUGUAUUUAAGAUAUAUUUGUGAUCAUUCUAAUAUUUCUUUAAGAUUUCUUAUUAUUUCUUUGUAAUUCCUUUGAAGUUUCUUUGAAUUUGAUUAAAGCUUGCUUAGCAUUGUUAUGGUUUAAUUAAAGUUUAGUUAGUAUUCUAUUAGAGUUAAGAUUUUGUUAUUACAAUUUUUAUUCUACCUUCCACAGCCAGGUAUCCAAAGCAUUCUCAAGCAAGACUUCACACAUUACAAUAUAUUUGGUAAACCCGACAUAAAACAUUUGAGAUAGAAGGAAUUUGGUUUUCUUGGAUUAUUUGAAUUUUGGAGAAGGAAGGCAAGAAGAUGGAAGGAGGAAUUUUUGAUAGUGCUUCAAGUGGAG
This 673-nucleotide long non-coding RNA is filed under the name Physcomitrium patens. RNAcentral describes it as "long non-coding RNA (PPAT_LNC008101)". The record is from RNAcentral. Lineage: Eukaryota; Viridiplantae; Streptophyta; Bryopsida; Funariales; Funariaceae.